RNAcentral lists this ribosomal RNA (481 nucleotides) under uncultured bacterium. Its description in RNAcentral is "bacterial SSU rRNA". It matches the Rfam family "Bacterial small subunit ribosomal RNA", at positions 335 to 803 of the family's 1533-position model. The record is from RNAcentral.
ACUCCUACGGGAGGCAGCAGUGGGGAAUAUUGCACAAUGGGGGAAACCCUGAUGCAGCCAUGCCGCGUGUGUGAAGAAGGCCUUGGGUUGUAAAGCACUUUCAGUAGGGAGGAAGGUAGUGUAGUUAACACCUGCACUAUUUGACGUUACCUACAGAAGAAGCACCGGCUAACUCCGUGCCAGCAGCCGCGGUAAGUACGGAGGGUGCGAGCGUUAAUCGGAAUUACGUGGGCGUAAAGCGCAUGCAGGCGGCCUGUUAAGUCAGAUGUGAAAGCCCGGGGUCUUAACCUCGGAAUUGCAUUUGAAACUGGCAGGCUAGAGUCUUGGUAGAGGGGGUUAGAAUUUCGAGGUGUAGCGGUGAAAUGCGUAGAGAUCUGAAGGAAUACCGAGUGGCGAACGGCGGCCCCUGGACAAAGACUGACGCUCAGAUGCGAAAGGCGUGGGAGCAAACGAGGAUUAGAUACCCCGUGGUAGCGACUGA